CUGUUCGACAACGCAAGCCCACCAGGGAGUCCCUCCCGUCCAUGUUCUUCGUCUACCUGUACGGCAAGCAUCCUAGCUACUCCACGUCGCCCUGCCUUGAUGGGACGGCCACCAUGCACCGUGAGUUCCUCCUAUAAAACCCACCUCCGCGGUAGCCUGCAACCCUAGCGUCCUCCUUUCUUUUUCCCUCCCCCGCGCCGCCAACCUCUUGGCUCCUCUCGCUUCCCUCUUCUCCAUGGACCUCCACCUCCACCUCGUCAGGACGCCACCUCUACAGGCUCUUCCGCGUUCGUCUGAGCAGAGGAAAAGAUGCACCUCGUCGUCUACUUCAUCUCUGCGCAAAGAUUUGCUCCAAGCCGUCCGAAAACGAGCUCACCGUCGAUUUCUUCCUGCCCGGCCGUCAACUUUCGCGGACGGUUUCGUCACCAUCAGAGCCUCUCCAUCCGAGCCAACCAUGGAUUCGAGCUCCUGGUGAGGUCUCGUGUCGAUCCCACCUUUUUCCCGUCUAUGUUUGCACUCGCUCACGGUCGACUGUUCUGUACGAGGGCUUCCUCCCGUCCUCGUCCACCUCACUGAGCCGGAGGCGCCGCAACUACUCAAGCUCUUCAACCUCUGCAUCAUCAUCUACCCCGGCCACCUCUCCUUCCUCGUCGCCGGCGACCUCCUUCGCCGCUGCCACCUCGUCUCCAACCAACCCAGGCAUUUGCUUCUUCCCGGAUAGGAUCAUGAAGUGGUGAUGUGAGAUACGACAAGUUCUUCUGCAGUUUUUCACAGGCGAGCCCUCUCUCUUCACCUACUCUCCCUCGCAUUGCUAUCCUUAUGUUGCGCUUCUUUAUCGAGUCACGUCUCCUAUUCCACUUGUUUACCAUAAUAAUCCUAUAUGUAUCAUUCCUUACCUUUAGCCGUUGCUUGAUGUUUGAGCCUUGCGAGUCGUAGGCGUGUUUAGGCUCUGUUGUUUAUCUCGAUCUGUUAUCGGGAUAUGUUGGGUUGUUGGGUGGUUAUCACAUGCUAUAUCAUUGUUGGAGAUAUUCACACUUUACUUUAUUGUUAACAACUAAAAUUGUAAGCAGAGGCAUCUGUGAGCCCCUUUGCGAAAGCAUCGGAACUUUGACUCGCUAAUGUCCCCUAGGACCCGAGUUCUUGUUAUCUGUUCCGAGAUUGAGCGCUCUACCCGUACGUGGGGACGUUUAUUGGGACCCCCCCUCACCCAUUACCUUUUCUCAAGUCAGUUGAAAAGGGGGCCACAACCUUGGUUUUAUUUGGCGCAUGCAUGUUUAUAUACUGUUGCCUUCGGGUGUUUA
Molecule: non-coding RNA, 1301 nt
Organism: Lolium perenne
Lineage: Eukaryota; Viridiplantae; Streptophyta; Magnoliopsida; Poales; Poaceae
Source: RefSeq, a predicted model, not a curated record